GCCGCCAUGGUGGAAUUGGUAGACACAACAGACUUAAAAUCUGUCGGCCCUCGAGCUGUCCCGGUUCGAGUCCGGGUGGCGGCACCA
This 87-nucleotide transfer RNA is filed under the name Methanobacteriota archaeon. Its description in RNAcentral is "Euryarchaeota archaeon tRNA-Leu". It matches the Rfam family "tRNA". Rfam says of the family: Transfer RNA (tRNA) molecules are approximately 80 nucleotides in length. Their secondary structure includes four short double-helical elements and three loops (D, anti-codon, and T loops). Lineage: Archaea; Methanobacteriati; Methanobacteriota. The record is from RNAcentral.